GGGUGUCUUCGACCCAGGGUCGCAGGCAGGAUUGCGUUGGUCGGGCCGCCAACG
RNAcentral lists this non-coding RNA (54 nucleotides) under Kaistia sp. Its description in RNAcentral is "Li+-I sequence". It matches the Rfam family "nhaA-I RNA". Rfam says of the family: Acidobacteria, Alphaproteobacteria, Betaproteobacteria and Gammaproteobacteria, Verrucomicrobia, cand. division NC10. Downstream gene Lineage: Bacteria; Pseudomonadati; Pseudomonadota; Alphaproteobacteria; Hyphomicrobiales; Kaistiaceae. The record is from RNAcentral.